AAAAAAACCGCCCGUCGCCCCGCCCACCUCUCCCCGACCCAUCCUAGAUCCGCCGACGCCGCCGCAGCACCCAAUCUCGCCGCUCCUGCUGCCCCCCAAUCCCGCUUGCCGCCGGCACAGUCCGUCGCACCCUGACGCCGGCCUCCACGAGCGGCAGGGCCGGCGCGCCAGCCUCGCGCGGCGGCCGCUGUGACGAACGGGGCCGGCGGCCUCCCGCGGCGGCGACGGCCGACGGGGCUGCGGCCUCCCGCGGCGGCGACGGGACGGCAGCCUCCCGUGGCGGCGACGAGCGACGGGCCGACGUCCGCGAGUGCGCGGCGUCGAGCUCUGAAAACGGAGGCCGCUUACGGUGGAUUUGGGGGCGAACAGUGACCGCAACGGACUUCUGUGGGCGGCCGACGGAGAGGCAUCCGAUUCGUUUUCGGCGGCCUGGAAUCGUCGCAUGUCACGGCUUGACAUGCCGUGGGCAAGUCACGCAAUCUGAGUCCUUCCCCUUCUAGCCCGAUUUGAUUCCGUUUCUUGCGUCGAUGAUCCUGUAGCAUCUGAUUUUUGAUCUAGAUACACUGACUGAACAACGAGUUUUCAGGAAGUUAAGAGUUUUUGUUGAUCAUUGUGGCCUUUAGAUUCCAUUGAUGUAACUUGAGAACAGAUAUGAUCAGAUCCCUAAUUUAACCUGUUGAUGAGCUGUUUUUGCUUUCUGUGUUGUCAUCAGUAUCUGAAUGAUGUACUUGAAGCUUCAGUCUUGUUAGUACUGAUUUAUGAUGACUAGCUGCACUGAAGGAUGCUUUGCUGAGUUUAAUAGGCAUUUAUCAAGGAGGCGUGUGGAAGGUUAGAGUAGAACUGCCAGAUGCAUAUCCAUGCAAAUCCCCGUCAAUUGGUUUGUCGAUGAAAUGUGAGUACCUCUGAACUCAAAGAGUUGUUACUUUGUCUAUUCAAACCAUGAUAACAAUUUAGUUUCUAACCACUUCUGGAUGGAUGCAAACGGUAGGCCUGGUUCAGUUUGUUUCGAUGUCAUCAACCAAACAUGGAGCCCAAUGUUUGAUCUUGUCAAUGUGUUUGAGGUCUUCCUCCCACAACUUCUACUAUAUCCGAAUCCUUCUGAUCCAUUGAAUGGAGAUGCUGCUGCAUUGAUGAUGCGUGAUCGUCCUUCUUAUGAACCCAAAGUGAAAGGUAACCAGAUUAAGCAUUGUCCUGGCAGGAUUGCAAUCUAGAGGAUGCAACGGAAUUGUCUUUGAAAGGAGAGCUUGAUGUCUUCGCUGCUAAUUUGCCCGCUUCACCUGGUUUCGCUCCAUAGAGUUAUGUCGAGUUGUCUGAACAGUGGAAAGCUUCACGCUUACCAACUGAACCUGUGGACCUUAUUAUUGGCAUCUUUUCAGCUACGGAAGCCUGGAGAUUUCGUAAUAAACUUCUACGUUAUUAAGCAGUUUUAAUUAAGUAUUGGUUGCUUUAGGCCGAGAACCAGACUUCUACAUCUUAUUAAGCGGUUGAAGUCACUUGAGAGAUGGCAUCAGUUCACUGGGGUCACUUGCAAAGGACAUAUUUACUUAUCCUUUUGCUCCUUUUUAUACCCAGAAUAAGUUUAUCCUAAAUUUGAUAUUUGUUAGUCAAGGUUUGGAGGGUUUUCAUUUACUCACUUUGUAAAAUCCAGCAUUAGGAAAUAAAAGUUCGAUACUCUGUGUAAAGCUUGUACUGGAUAGUAAGUAUUGGGAGAGAAGAUAAAUUAUUCUCCGGUAAA
Panicum virgatum (switchgrass) is the source of this 1735-nucleotide long non-coding RNA. RefSeq lists it as uncharacterized. NCBI's taxonomy places the organism in Eukaryota, Viridiplantae, Streptophyta, Magnoliopsida, Poales, Poaceae. The record is from RefSeq and is a predicted model, not a curated record. The transcript is spliced from 2 exons.